UACGGAGGGGACUAGCGUUGUUCGGAAUUACUGGGCGUAAAGCGCACGUAGGCGGAUUUGUAAGUCAGGGGUGAAAUCCCGGGGCUCAACCUCGGAACUGCCUUUGAUACUGCAAAUCUCGAGUCCGGAAGAGGUGAGUGGAAUUCCUAGUGUAGAGGUGAAAUUCGUAGAUAUUAGGAAGAACACCAGUGGCGAAGGCGGCUCACUGGUCCGGUACUGACGCUGAGGUACGAAAGCGUGGGGAGCAAACAGG
Molecule: ribosomal RNA, 253 nt
Filed under: uncultured bacterium
Lineage: Bacteria
Description: partial 16S ribosomal RNA
Rfam family: Bacterial small subunit ribosomal RNA
Source: RNAcentral